Pan paniscus (pygmy chimpanzee) is the source of this 66-nucleotide non-coding RNA. Lineage: Eukaryota; Metazoa; Chordata; Mammalia; Primates; Hominidae. The record is from Ensembl.
GCCCUUGUAGUAUAAGCUAAUACACCGGUCUUGUAAACCGGAAACGAAAACUUUAUUCCAAGGACA